Podarcis lilfordi (Lilford's wall lizard) is the source of this 75-nucleotide non-coding RNA. The record is from the annotation of a GenBank genome assembly. Lineage: Eukaryota; Metazoa; Chordata; Lepidosauria; Squamata; Lacertidae.
GGAGGGCCAUAGCUCAGUGGUAAAAGCAUCUGUUUUAUCUGCAGAAGGGUCCAGGUUUAAUCCCCGGCGUCUCCA